Long non-coding RNA from Eriocheir sinensis (Chinese mitten crab), 3709 nucleotides. RefSeq lists it as uncharacterized. The record is from RefSeq and is a predicted model, not a curated record. The transcript has 4 exons. Lineage: Eukaryota; Metazoa; Arthropoda; Malacostraca; Decapoda; Varunidae.
AAUCAGAAGUAACCAUUUUCCAGAAGUUACUCUCGUAUUUCCCUCUGUCACUAAGUUAUCAUUGGGUGUUAUGAACCGCCAUGGUCUUAACUUAUUGAGAAUUUAAUGCUCUUUCAAAUGCUGCCUUCAAAAAUGCUCAAAGUGGUCUGGUUAUUGUGGAAAAUGCAAAAAUGUCAGAGGAUGUGUGAGUCAUACCCGUGGAUGACACCUGAAUAUUGAAGCACCUGACACCAGAAGAAAGGGUGUCAGGGCUGGACAAACAAAGGCUCACAAAAAAAGACAAGACCAUCCUCUGAUAUUUUUACAUUUUUUUGGUACUUUAAGACAUUUUAGAGCAUUUCUGAAGGCAGCAUUUGAAAGAGCAUUAAAUUCUCUAUAAGGUCAGACUAUGGCAGACUCGUAACACCCAAUGAUAACUUAGUGACAGAGGGAAAUAUAAGAGUAACUUCUGGAAAAAUGGCUACUCCUGGCUCACACAUCCUCUGACAUUUUUGCAUUUUCCACAAUAACCAGACCACGUAGAGCAUUUCUGAAGGCAGCAUUUGAAAGAGCGUUAAAUUCUCUAUAAGUUCAGACUAUGGCAGACUCAUAACACCCAAUGAUAACUUAGUGACAGAGGGAAAUAUAAGAGUAACUUCUGGAAAAAUGGCUACUUCUGAUUCUCACAUCCUCGGACAUUUUCGCAUUUUCCACAAUAACCAGACCACUUAGAGCAUUUCCGAAGGCAACAUUCGAAAGAGCAUUAAAUUCUCUAUAAGGUCAGACUAUGGGCGACUCGUAACACCCAAUGAUAACUUAGUGACAGAGGGAAAUGUAAGAGUAACUUCUGGAAAAAUGGCUACUUCUGACUCUCACAUCCUCUGACAUUUUUGCAUUUUCCACAAUAACCAGACCACUUAGAGCAUUUCUGAAGGCAGCAUUUGAAAGAGCGUUAAAUUUUCUAUAAGGUCAGACUAUGGGCAACUCGUAACACCCAAUGAUAACUUAGUGACAGAGGGAAAUAUAAGAGUAACUUCUGGGAAAAUGGCUACUUCUGGCUCACACAUCCUCUGACAUUUUUGCAUUUUCCACAAUAACCAGACCACUUAGAGCAUUUCUGAAGGCAGCAUUCGAAAGAGCGUUAAAUUCCCUAUAAGGUCAGACUAUGGGCAACUCGUAACACCCAAUGAUAACUUAGUGACAGAGGGAAAUGUAAGAGUAACUUCUGGAGAUAUGGCUACUUCUGACUCACACAUCCUCUGACAUUUUUGCAUUUUCCACAAUAACCAGACCACUUAGAGCAUUUCUGAAGGCAGCAUUCGAAAGAGCGUUAAAUUCCCUAUAAGGUCAGACUAUGGGCAACUCGUAACACCCAAUGAUAACUUAGUGACGGAGGGAAAUGUAAGAGUAACUUCUGGAGAUAUGGCUACUUCUGACUCACACAUCCUCGGACAUUUUUGCAUUUUCCACAAUAACCAGACCACGUAGAGCAUUUCUGAAGGCAGCAUUGGAAAGAGCGUUAAAUUCUCUAUAAGGUCAGACUAUGGGCGACUCGUAACACCCAAUGAUAACUUAGUGACAGAGGGAAAUAUAAGAGUAAAUUCUGGAAAAAUGGCUACUUCUGACUCUCACAUUCUCUGACAUUUUUGCAUUUUCCACAAUAACCAGACCACUUAGAGCAUUUCUGAAGGCAGCAUUUGAAAGAGCGUUAAAUUCUCUAUAAGGUCAGACUAUGGCAGACUCGUAACACCCAAUGAUAACUUAGUGACAGAGGGAAAUAUAAGAGUAACUUCUGGAAAAAUGGCUACUUCUGACUCUCACAUUCUGACAUUUUUGCAUUUUCCACAAUAACCAGACCACUUAGAGCAUUUCUGAAGGCAGCAUUUGAAAGAGCAUUAAAUUCUCUAUAAGGUCAGACUAUGGCAGACUCAUAACACCCAAUGAUAACUUAGUGACAGAGGGAAAUAUAAGAGUAACUUCUGGAAAAAUGGCUACUUCUGACUCUCACAUCCUCUGACAUUUUUGCAUUUUCCACAAUAACAAGACCACUUAGAGCAUUUCUGAAGGCAGCAUUUGAAAGAGCAUUAAAUUCUCUAUAAGAUCAGACUAUGGCAAACUCACAACACCCAAUGAUAACUUAGUGACAGAGGGAAAUAUAAGAGUAACUCCUGGAAAAAUUGCUACUCCUGACUCACACACCCUCUGACAUUUUUGCAUUUUCCACAAUAACCAGACCACUUUUAGCAUUUCUGAAGGCAGCAUUUGAAAGAGCAUUAAAUUCUCUAUAAGUUCAGACUAUGGCAGACUCAUAACACCCAAUGAUAACUUAGUGACAGAGGGAAAUAUGAGAGUAACUCCUGGAAAAAUGGCUACUUCUGACUCUCACAUCCUCUAACAUUUUUGCAUUUUCCACAAUAACCAGACCACUUAGAGCAUUUCUGAAGGCAGCAUUUGAAAGAGCAUUAAAUUCUCUAUAAGGUCAGACUAUGGCAGACUCGUAACACCCGAUGAUAACUUAGUGACAGAGGGAAAUAUAAGAGUAACUUCUGGAAAAAUGGCUACUUCUGACUCUCACAUUCUGACAUUUUUGCAUUUUCCACAAUAACCAGACCACUUAGAGCAUUUCUGAAGGCAGCAUUUGAAAGAGCAUUAAAUUCUCUAUAAGUUCAGACUAUGGCAGACUCAUAACACCCAAUGAUAACUUAGUGACAGAGGGAAAUAUGAGAGUAACUCCUGGAAAAAUUGCUACUUCUGACUCUCACAUCCUCUGACAUUUUUGCAUUUUCCACAAUAACCAGACCACUUAGAGCAUUUCUGAAGGCAGCAUUUGAAAGAGCAUUAAAUUCUCUAUAAGGUCAGACUAUGGCAAACUCAUAACACCCAAUGAUAACUUAGUGACAGAGGGAAAUAUGAGAGUAACUUCUGGAAAAAUGGCUACUUCUGACUCACAUCCUCUGACAUUUUUGCAUGGAACAGACCCCAGGAGACGGGACACAACAUCUGUGGUCAUAUGCCGGAGAGAGACAGAAGGGGAAGGAAUUAUAGGAGAAGGGAACAGACCCCAGGAGACGGGACACAACAUCUGUGGUCAUGUGCCGGAGAGAGACAGAAGGGGAAGGAAUUAUAGGAGAAGGGAACAGACCCCAGGAGACGGGACACAACAUCUGUGGUCAUGUGCCGGAGAGAGACAGAAGGGGAAGGAAUUAUAGAAGGGAACAGACCCCAGGAGACGGGACACAACCCCUGAUUAAUACCUGGCACACUGCUGGGUGGACAGGGGCAGCGUAGGGUAUCGGAAAAGCCGCCCAAAUUUUUCCACUCCGCCCGGGAAUCGAACCCAGGCUCUCUCGGUUCUGAGCUAAGCGUGCUAACCACUGCACCACGAAGCCCCCUGCACACAGUUCUUCCCGCACGCCACUUAAACAACAGCACAACUACCCAACAACAACAACAACAACACCCUCGCUGCUGAGCUAACACGAGGGGAAGGGCAGCCCGGGAGGAGGCUAUUCAAACUGACCUCUUGUUGGUUUUACACAAUGACCCUGACCUUCAUGAUACUUGGUGACCUCCAGAGUGACCUGUACUACUACUACUACUACUACUACUACUACUAUUACUAUCGCCGACGUGUGUUAGAGAAACUACGAUUAGUCAACCCAUGGAAUCAGAUUUUUAUUCAGCGUUGACGAGGGCUUAGAGAUCCUCACAUUCUCUGGGGUGGAGGGAA